This 227-nucleotide ribosomal RNA is filed under the name uncultured bacterium. RNAcentral describes it as "partial 16S ribosomal RNA". It matches the Rfam family "Bacterial small subunit ribosomal RNA", at positions 568 to 793 of the family's 1533-position model. The record is from RNAcentral.
CACGUAGGCGGACAAAUAAGUUUGAUGUCAAAUAUGAUGGCUCAACCAUCAAGAGGCGUUGAAAACUGUUUAUCUAGAAUCUCGGAGAGGUAAGUGGAAUUCCAUGUGUAGCGGUGGAAUGCGUAGAUAUAUGGAGGAACACCAAUGGCGAAGGCAGCUUACUGGACGAAGAUUGACGCUGAGGUGACGAAAGCGUGGGUAGCAAACAGGAUUAGAUACCCUGGUAG